AUAACAUUUCCAACAUUUGAUGGAACAAAUCCCAUGGAGUGGUUGAGAACUACUGAGAAAUUUUUCUCUAUGGUGUAUGUUCCAGAAGAAGCAAACUGGGACUAUGCUCAAAUGUAUCUCACUGGCAAAGCAGACACAUGGCUGAGAAACUCUGGAGUAUUAGAUGGAAACCUCACUUGGGACCAAUUUUGUGCUGUUGUACUCAAGAGAUUUUCAGAAAAUAGCCCCUAUGAAGUGGUAGAAAGCUUCAACUCCAUCAAACAAGGCUCCAAAAAAUGGCAUCCUAUAAGAAAGAAAACUCAGGGGCUAGUGAAAGCUACUAUGUGAAAUGUUUUGUCAAUGGGCUGAGGCCUGAAAUCAAGCACUACCUCAAACCCUUCAAGCCACAAACACUGUAUGAGGCAGUCGAAACUGCCAGAGACAUGGAGUUAGGGGUACAAGCCCAAGCGUCAUAGAGGAAAUUCUCUUCCUACGGUGGAUAUCAGAAGAAUCUCACCAAAAGUACAUGCACCGAUAGCACUGCCAUCAAGAAGGACGGAGAUAGCAAAACCAAUCAAAGACCUGAGAUUAAAUAUCGAGAACCAGGAGUCUGCAGAUACUGUGGGGGAAAGUGGUUCUUUGGCCACAAA
This 629-nucleotide ribosomal RNA is filed under the name Triticum aestivum (bread wheat). Its description in RNAcentral is "partial small subunit ribosomal RNA". The record is from RNAcentral. Lineage: Eukaryota; Viridiplantae; Streptophyta; Magnoliopsida; Poales; Poaceae.